GCUUUUGGCCUCCCGGCUUUAUAUCUAUAUAUACACAGGUAUAUGUGUAUAUUUUAUAUAAUUGUUCUCCGUUCGUUGAUAUCAAAGACAGUUGAAGGAAAUGAAUUUUGAAACUUCACGGUGUGCCACCCUACAGUACUGCCCUGACCCUUACAUCCAGCGUUUCGUAGAAACCCCAGCUCAUUUCUCUUGGAAAGAAAGUUAUUACCGAUCCACCAUGUCCCAGAGCACACAGACAAAUGAAUUCCUCAGUCCAGAGGUUUUCCAGCAUAUCUGGGAUUUUCUGGAACAGCCUAUAUGUUCAGUUCAGCCCAUUGACUUGAACUUUGUGGAUGAACCAUCAGAAGAUGGUGCGACGAACAAGAUUGAGAUUAGCAUGGACUGUAUCCGCAUGCAGGACUCGGACCUGAGUGACCCCAUGUGGGUGAGUGGCACAGGCUUUCUCUUCAGUCUUUGGGCCAUGCUAUCUAUAGCUCUGUUAAACCUGUCUUUUCAGUCAUGUGUGAAAAGGCAGGUGGCUCUGAAUGGCCAAGGCCUUUGGGAAGA
This 546-nucleotide small RNA is filed under the name Pan troglodytes (chimpanzee). RNAcentral describes it as "retained intron". The record is from RNAcentral. Lineage: Eukaryota; Metazoa; Chordata; Mammalia; Primates; Hominidae.